ACAACGUAACAGGGGGAGGGAGAAGAGAAACGUACCGAAACCCCCUGCGUCAACUCCCAAACGCCGUAACUUCUCCGUCCGAGCUCCGAUCGCCGCACCGUUUGCGGUCACGCGUCCACCGUGUCGAGCUCUACAUUUCUACCGGAACAAUUUCUUUGGAUCCAAUUAACUUGAGAAAAACAUUUACUCUUACUUAUGUGAAGCUUGGGUAAGGUUGUGAAUAAAUAAUUGGAGCUCGAAAUUGUGAAUACUGGAACUUGGAGGAAGCGGAUUAGUUGAGGUUUUGAGGACUGUGUUCUUUAGAAAAAAUUAUCUUGGAAUAAUACUUGGGAAUCGGCUAAGAUGCAGGUCGAGAGGCAUCUUGUUAGGCGUCUGGACUCUUAAAGCGGAGGUGGUUACUGGGUAGUUUUGUUGUACAGAUAUAUAUAAAUAUGUACUUAGCUUUCUCUCCGCUUAACUUGUUCUUUUUUAUCCUCUUAGAGGUUUAUGGAGAGACAGGAUUAUGUAUAUGUACUUUGGGUUUUGGAUAUAUAUAUAUAUUCUCCGGCUAGUCUUAACUUCGCGGGCUGAGUUAGGAGCUUGUUAUUUUGUAUCUUUGGCACUCUAUUCCUACUUCUGUUAUCAUAUGUUUAAUAGUUAUGUUUUCCUUAGCACGCAAGUUAACUC
This is a non-coding RNA of Arachis ipaensis, 666 nucleotides long. Lineage: Eukaryota; Viridiplantae; Streptophyta; Magnoliopsida; Fabales; Fabaceae. The record is from RefSeq and is a predicted model, not a curated record.